Cercocebus atys (sooty mangabey) is the source of this 425-nucleotide long non-coding RNA. RefSeq lists it as uncharacterized. Lineage: Eukaryota; Metazoa; Chordata; Mammalia; Primates; Cercopithecidae. The transcript is spliced from 4 exons. The record is from RefSeq and is a predicted model, not a curated record.
CACCACCAUGCCUGGCUAAUGCUUCUAUUUCUAUAAAUGAAGAUGUGAGGCCGUGUUAGCUCUAAGAGAGCAGGGAUCUUGUUUCUUGGUCACCGUGAUAUUUCAGCUGCUGACCCAGUGCUCAAAAUAUGUUUACUUGGGACAACAUAGAUCUGGUAUCCAUAAUAGGUCUGUGGGCAGAACAAAGAUUUGUCACAUGGAAGUAGCUGUUGCUCAGCCAGGAAUGAUGAACAUUUGCAAAAAGAGGAGUUGUGUUUGUAGCCAUUGGAGAGAAUCUUUAACCCUGGACCAAGAGCACAUUGGAGAUUAAGAAACCAUGAGUCAGAAGAAGUCACAAUUCAUCUCCCUUCCAAGCAAAUGAUUUUACGGAUCUACCGUCCUUUCGGCUCUAUAUCUGAAUCAAGACUCAGCAGUUCUGAUUUCCU